UACGUAGGGUGCGAGCGUUAAUCGGAAUUACUGGGCGUAAAGCGUGCGCAGGCGGUUUUGUAAGCCAGAUGUGAAAGCCCCGGGCUCAACCUGGGAAUGGCAUUUGGGACUGCAAGGCUGGAGUUUGGCAGAGGAGACUGGAAUUCCUGGUGUAGCAGUGAAAUGCGUAGAUAUCAGGAGGAACACCGACGGCGAAGGCAGGUCUCUGGGCUGAAACUGACGCUCAAGCACGAAAGCGUGGGGAGCAAAC
This 250-nucleotide ribosomal RNA is filed under the name uncultured bacterium. RNAcentral describes it as "partial 16S ribosomal RNA". It matches the Rfam family "Bacterial small subunit ribosomal RNA", at positions 524 to 773 of the family's 1533-position model. The record is from RNAcentral.